GACGAACGCUGGCGGCGUGCCUAACACAUGCAAGUCGAGCGGAGUCGAUCGACGGAAGCCUUCGGGCGGAAGAUGGUUGACUUAGCGGCGGAUGGGUGAGUAACGCGUGGGCAACCUGCCUCGAAGACCGGGAUAACAGCCCGAAAGGGCUGCUAAUACCGGAUGUGGUCAAGGAUCCGCAUGGAUUUUUGAUUAAAGGGGAAACCCGUUUCGAGAUGGGCCCGCGUCCUAUCAGCUAGUUGGUGAGGUAAAAGCUCACCAAGGCGACGACGGGUAGCCGGCCUGAGAGGGUGACCGGCCACACUGGAACUGAGACACGGUCCAGACUCCUACGGGGGGCAGCAGUGGGGAAUCUUCCACAAUGGGCGAAAGCCUGAUGGAGCGACGCCGCGUGAGCGAAGAAGGCCUUCGGUUGUAAAGCUCUGUCUGGAGGGACGAAGGAAGUGACGGUACCUCCGGAGGAAGCCACGGCUAACUACGUG
RNAcentral lists this ribosomal RNA (482 nucleotides) under uncultured bacterium. RNAcentral's name for it is "bacterial SSU rRNA". It matches the Rfam family "Bacterial small subunit ribosomal RNA", at positions 28 to 507 of the family's 1533-position model. The record is from RNAcentral.